This is a long non-coding RNA of Xiphias gladius (swordfish), 1900 nucleotides long. RefSeq lists it as uncharacterized. The record is from RefSeq and is a predicted model, not a curated record. NCBI's taxonomy places the organism in Eukaryota, Metazoa, Chordata, Actinopteri, Istiophoriformes, Xiphiidae. The transcript has 3 exons.
CAAUCACUCAGUGACCCAAAGACACUCAAGGAACUCAAGCUGUUUUUAAAAGGCCUCUCAUUCAUUUGAAUGGAGCAAGUCCAGCGGUGCAGUGGGGGUGCCAGUGCAGGGGACUACGGCAAAAACGACACAGCGUCACCUGGCAAAAAAGUUGAACCUGGUUCGAAUUUUGCUGCAAUGCAUUGUGACGUCAUCAGGCAUGAGCAUGCUUAUCUGUACUUGCCGGUGUGCUUGAGAAAGAACAAGACAUGGCGUUGCCAGUAGAGAAAAAGCAAACAAGAAAAGGAGGACGGCCGAAGCACUAAUAUAUGGGAGAAUUUCCAGGCGUUAUUUGUCUUAUUUAUAAUAUAUUUAUGUUAUUUUUAUUGUUGUUAAAUGAAAACAGUUCCAGCUCCAGUUCUUCUUCCAGCAGCUUGUCCCAGAAGCAUUUUCUUACAGAAUGAGUUCAAAUUUGAAAGUUUACUUUUAAAUGAGGCUCAGUGUGUUAUCCAACGCAAAAACUCGGGAAUCUCCAUCAGUUAUAAAUAAACCAAACAGCCUCAUCAUUUGUUACUACGAACAAGACAACAGCAAAAGCGUAGCAUAAUAAGAAGCCUCCCUUGCUGUAAUCUGGGACAAUAACUCAGGUUGUUACACAAUUGUACGUGGACACUGCAUUUCCCAACCUUUGUUUUUCUAAUACACUGUGGAGAAAAAGAGUUAUGUAACGAAAUUGGUCAAACGGGAAAAAAAGAAAUAAAAUACAUGACGAGUGUGGAAUUCCUGGCCACAUUCACAAAGCACAGGAGAUAUUUCACAUUCACAAUAUCUCCUGUGCUUUGAAGCAGCAUCAUAGCUCAUUAGUUUCACAUUUUUUUUUCGCUGCAUAUCUUUUAACAGAAUAAACAUGCUGGACUUUGUGUGAAAUGUUGAUCAGUGUUACGGACUAUAAAUUUGUUUGGGACUUGGCAUGAAAAGGUCUUUUGUCAGCUGUCUUGGUCACAGACUUGAUGCAAUCAGGCAACUCAGUGAUGUAUUUAGGGAUCUGUUCAUACAGACAGGAAAUCGGAUAGUGUUGUAAUUGAAACAUUUUUCUCUUGUGCCUGUCCUGUGCCAGAUCUGGACAGAUGUCUUACUAAUAAACUGGUGCACUUUAGAUUUUUUACUGACCCUGAUGGACAGAACCAGUUGAGCUUGAGGAAUACCUAAUGUUUAUCUUGCCAGAGGACUGUAUCACAGUGCUUCCAGUGAGCAAUCCUGUCCAGUUUUCUUCGGGGAAACAUUCCGAUUUAACCUAAAUGUCGAUAGAUCUAAAUAAACUAAUGUACCUGUCAAGAGUCUGCAGCCACAUCUGGGGCUCUGUGAGGCUGUAAUGAUCGACUAGAAAAGAACCAUAGAUGAAAAGCCAGAGGAGUUCAGAAAGGCCUUGACUGUCUGUACCAUAGUAUUCCAUGUAAAUUGUAGCAUAAAUUAGCAAGACUUACUAUUUUUGAUGGAUGCUCAUUUCUUUUCGUACAAGAACAUGUGCAUGUAUCGAUUCAGUCGCUCUUUAUUUUAGGGGUAAUUUCCUAAUAAUUUCUUGAACAUCUCUUUGAAUUAAAUAGGUUAUUUGGUAUUAACUGCAGGGAAAAUAGAGACAAAGUUUUGAGACAGUUAUUUUGCAACUGCCAAUUUUUUUUUUUUUUUUUUGUUAUUGUUGUUGUUACUAUUAUCCAAUGUCCAAUUAAAUCACAGUAAUCAAAGCACUCAUCUAUGCAGUUCCAACAAACCACCUUGCCAUACCAACGCAAGACAAUAAUAUAACAAUAAUAUGCACUAACCAUGUGCAGAAUAUCACUAGGCACUGUCAUUGAGUUUGGUCCUAGUUUUUAGUUCAUUUUAUGCUUAACAUUUUAGUUGAUGUUUUAUUUAUUUUGUUUUC